Long non-coding RNA from Eurytemora carolleeae, 1135 nucleotides. RefSeq lists it as uncharacterized. Lineage: Eukaryota; Metazoa; Arthropoda; Copepoda; Calanoida; Temoridae. The transcript has 2 exons. The record is from RefSeq and is a predicted model, not a curated record.
GAUAUAUUAGACAGGUGAAGAAUACAGAUAUAUUAGACAGGUGAAGAAUACAGAUAUAUUAGACAGGUGAAGAAUACAGAUAUAUAUUAGACAGGUGAAGAAUACAGAUAUACUCUGUGACUCAUCUCACUAUGAAAUGUUAAAGAGAAUUAAGAGAACUGACCAAACUUUGUUUAGGAUUUAAAUCAUGUGUCAAAGGUUUAUAGUUUUCAAAGAGAACUCAUGGAUUGUAAAUAUUCAAUGAAAGGUUUUAAAAAUAAUAUUCACGGUCCUUUCAAAACGGUGCAGAGCCUGAAAGGGACUGUAGACUCUAAAUAUAGAGUGUUAAUUGUCUCAUUCACAACGAUAACCCUGUUAGAGUCGUUUAUUGGAUCUGCAAUGACAAAACAUCGACGCUUUUCUAAUCAGAAGACUUAAAGUGCCUCAACUUUUGUACCUUACAGAGAACCGCGAUAAAAAUUAUCAAAUUUCAAAUAAAAAAUAGUUUUGCUAAGACAAAGGUAUCGUAAUCAUUUUUCAGAGAGAAUACCAUAAUGAAAUCAUUUUUCAGAGAGAAUACCCUAGCGUAAUCAUUUUUCAGAGAGAAUACCAUACCGUAAUCAUUUUUUAGAGAGAAUACCAUAACAUAAUCAGUUUUCAGAGAGAAUACCAUAAUGUAAUUAUUUUUCAGAGAGAAUAUCAUAAUGUAAUCAUUUUUCAGAGAGAAUACCAUAGCGUAAUCAUUUUUUAGAGAUAAUACCAUAACGUAACCAUUUUUCAGCGAGAAUACCAUAACGUAAUCAUUUUUCAGAGAGAAUACCAUUCGGCAGAGAACUUAAAUAAAACAAUGCCCUCGUCUAAAUAUAGAGAUGGUCGUCAUGAUCAAGAAGAACUAGAUUAUGAAGAUGCACUGGAUGAUGCACAUGAUGUUCCUGAUUAUAAGGAUCAUGAAGAAUAUGACCUUGAUUUCAAAGAUGACGAUGACAACGUUUUCCUGGAUUCCAGCAGUUCUACAAUAGUAUUAUCAGGUAGCAGCUCAGAAAGUGAAGAUUCCAGCAUGGUUUAAACAAAUUUAUUUUCAUCAGAAACAAUAACAAAAUUGUUAAAAUAGUUUUUUUUAUGUAUUACAUGCGUAAAUAGACAUUCUAAAAUCAUG